UCGGGAAAGUCCAGUGAUGGAGACAUAACACACUGGGUGCUAUUUCCUGGUAAGAAAAAGAAGGUGAAAAUUUGAAGUAUGCUGGUGUCGCUAGUUCCAAGCCCACAAAGAGAGAUUUCUUAAGAAAACUAAGUGUGUGGUCACGAGAUGGAAUUUUAAGAACCCUAGUGGAAAUGUAUAAGGCAUUUUGAAUAUGAUGUAGAGCUUUUGAAAAAAAUAAUUAUUGGGGCCCAAAAGAGGAGCUUUAAUGAAGUAAGCUGAUGAUAGUGAAAGAAUUAAAAAAAAAAAUCACGAAAUCACUCUUCCUUGUCUGCUUUAUUUCUUAAAAGGGAAUUCUGAACCCUUCCUCCUCCUCAAAGAGAAACUGUAUCUCUGGUGAGAAAGAUUCCUAAUAUCUGUACAAUUUCAUUUUCCCAUUUCAGAGCCCAAGCUGCCCACGGGCCUGUGAAGAGUCCUCCACUGUUGCAGAGAGAAUUUCUAAGAUGAAAGAAGAUUUUUUUUUUCAUGAUGAAGUCUCCAACAAUAAAAACUGGAGACUCGCCUGCUUCAUGAAGCCUGUGAAUUCUUUCUGAGCUAUCUUUGAGAACUCAUCCGAGGGAUCAAAAGCAUUUGAUAUUCUUCCAAAUGCUAAAAAUCAGAGGAGGAAGCAUGAGCCGAAGUAAGUCAAAUUUGGAAUGACCUGAGUUUGCAACUGCUUUGUCUCCAGCCCUCAUUUCUAGAAGUUGCUGGGACAGGUGUAUGUGAAUUCUUUGGCUAGAGAGAGAGAGCACAAGUAGGCAGAGCAGCAGGCAGAGAG
Molecule: long non-coding RNA, 796 nt
Organism: Mustela erminea (ermine)
Lineage: Eukaryota; Metazoa; Chordata; Mammalia; Carnivora; Mustelidae
Exons: 3
Source: RefSeq, a predicted model, not a curated record